RNAcentral lists this ribosomal RNA (460 nucleotides) under uncultured bacterium. Its description in RNAcentral is "partial 16S ribosomal RNA". It matches the Rfam family "Bacterial small subunit ribosomal RNA", at positions 338 to 795 of the family's 1533-position model. The record is from RNAcentral.
CCUACGGGUGGCAGCAGUGAGGAAUAUUGGUCAAUGGGCGCGAGCCUGAACCAGCCAAGUAGCGUGAAGGAUGACUGCCCUACGGGUUGUAAACUUCUUUUAUAAAGGAAUAAAGUGAGGCAUGUGUGCCGUUUUGUAUGUACUUUAUGAAUAAGGAUCGGCUAACUCCGUGCCAGCAGCCGCGGUAAUCCGGAGGAUUCGCGCGUUAUCCGGAUUUAUUGGGUUUAAAGGGCGCGUAGAUGGGUUGUUAAGUCAGUUGUGAAAGUUUGCGGCUCAACCGUAAAAUUGCAAUUGAUACUGGCAGCCUUGAGUACAGUUGAGGUAGGCGGAAUUCGUGGUGUAGCGGUGAAAUGCUGAGAUAUCACGAAGAACUCCGAUUGCGAAGGCAGCUUACUAAGCUGUGACUGACAUUGAUGCUCGAAAGUGUGGGUAUCAAACAGGAUUAGAUACCCCGGUAGUC